This 461-nucleotide ribosomal RNA is filed under the name uncultured bacterium. RNAcentral's name for it is "partial 16S ribosomal RNA". It matches the Rfam family "Bacterial small subunit ribosomal RNA", at positions 338 to 795 of the family's 1533-position model. The record is from RNAcentral.
CCUACGGGUGGCAGCAGUGAGGAAUAUUGGUCAAUGGGCGCAAGCCUGAACCAGCCAAGUCGCGUGAGGGAUGACGGUCCUAUGGAUUGUAAACCUCUUUUGUCGGGGAGCAAAGCCCUCUACGUGUGGAGGGAUGGAGAGUACCCGAAGAAAAAGCAUCGGCUAACUCCGUGCCAGCAGCCGCGGUAAUACGGAGGAUCUGAGCGUUAUCCGGAUUUAUUGGGUUUAAAGGGAGCGUAGGUGGAUUGUUAAGUCAGUUGUGAAAGUUUGCGGCUCAACCGUAAAAUUGCAGUUGAAACUGGCAGUCUUGAGUACAGUAGAGGUAGGCGGAAUUCGUGGUGUAGCGGUGAAAUGCUUAGAUAUCACGAAGAACUCCGAUUGCGAAGGCAGUUCACUGGACUGCAACUGACACUGAGGCUCGAAAGUGUUGGUAUCAAACAGGAUUAGAUACCCUUGUAGUC